RNAcentral lists this ribosomal RNA (366 nucleotides) under Triticum aestivum (bread wheat). Its description in RNAcentral is "partial small subunit ribosomal RNA". Lineage: Eukaryota; Viridiplantae; Streptophyta; Magnoliopsida; Poales; Poaceae. The record is from RNAcentral.
AUGGCCAUCGUGGCGGCGUUGGAGGCUGAGGUGGUGGGCUUGGUGGAGACAGAGGAGCACGUCCAGCGCAUCCUCCUCGCCAUCGACAACUUCACCCGCAAGGUGUCGGGGAUGCUGGACUCCGGGCGCGCCAUGCUCAAGGACCUCGCCGCCGACUUCGAGGACCGCCUUGUCAGGAUCCACAAGGAGAGGGUGAACAAGUGGGAGGAGGAGAUACUGGGGGCCCGUGACGCCGCCAACGAGCAGACCCGCGCCAUCCUCCACAGCGCCCAGCUGCAGCUCUUCCACAUCCGCCAGCCCAGUAGUCAGUCAGCAGAGUUCAACUACCCGUGCGAGAGCGGCAAUUUGGUGCCCGGGCUCGGAUGA